Molecule: ribosomal RNA, 679 nt
Filed under: Flavobacterium sp.
Lineage: Bacteria; Pseudomonadati; Bacteroidota; Flavobacteriia; Flavobacteriales; Flavobacteriaceae
Description: bacterial SSU rRNA
Rfam family: Bacterial small subunit ribosomal RNA
Source: RNAcentral
AGUCGAGGGGUAUAGUUCUUCGGAAUUAGAGACCGGCGCACGGGUGCGUAACGCGUAUGCAAUCUACCUUUUACAGAGGGAUAGCCCAGAGAAAUUUGGAUUAAUACCUCAUAGUAUAAUGACUUGGCAUCAAGACAUUAUUAAAGUCACAACGGUAAAAGAUGAGCAUGCGUCCCAUUAGCUAGUUGGUAAGGUAACGGCUUACCAAGGCUACGAUGGGUAGGGGUCCUGAGAGGGAGAUCCCCCACACUGGUACUGAGACACGGACCAGACUCCUACGGGAGGCAGCAGUGAGGAAUAUUGGACAAUGGGCGCAAGCCUGAUCCAGCCAUGCCGCGUGCAGGAUGACGGUCCUAUGGAUUGUAAACUGCUUUUAUACGAGAAGAAACACUACUUCGUGAAGUAGCUUGACGGUAUCGUAAGAAUAAGGAUCGGCUAACUCCGUGCCAGCAGCCGCGGUAAUACGGAGGAUCCAAGCGUUAUCCGGAAUCAUUGGGUUUAAAGGGUCCGUAGGCGGUUUAGUAAGUCAGUGGUGAAAGCCCAUCGCUCAACGGUGGAACGGCCAUUGAUACUGCUGAACUUGAAUUAUUAGGAAGUAACUAGAAUAUGUAGUGUAGCGGUGAAAUGCUUAGAGAUUACAUGGAAUACCAAUUGCGAAGGCAGGUUACUACUAAUUGAU